AAAGCCUGACGGAGCAAUACCGCGUGCGGGACGAAGGCUUUUGGGUCGUAAACCGCUUUUGUUAGGGAAGAAGAACUGACGGUACCCAACGAAUCAGCAUCGGCUAACUCCGUGCCAGCAGCCGCGGUAAUACGGGGGAUGCAAGCGUUAUCCGGAAUUAUUGGGCGUAAAGCGUCCGCAGGUGGUUUAUCAAGUCUGCUGUCAAAGCGUGGGGCUUAACCCCAUAAAGGCAGUGGAAACUGAGAGACUAGAGUACGGUAGGGGUAGCGGGAAUUCCCAGUGUAGCGGUGAAAUGCGUAGAUAUUGGGAAGAACACCAGCGGCGAAGGCGCGCUACUGGGCCGAAACUGACACUCAUGGACGAAAGCUAGGGGAGCGAAAGGGAUUAGAUACCCCUGUAGUCCUAGCUGUAAACGAUGACAACUAGGUGUUGCGCGUAUCGACCCGUGCAGUGCCGUAGCUAACGCGUUAAGUUGUCCGCCUGGGGAGUACGCACGCAAGUGUGAAACUCAAAGGAAUUGACGGGGGCCCGCACAAGCGGUGGAGUAUGUGGUUUAAUUCGAUGCAACGCGAAGAACCUUACCAGGGCUUGACAUGUCGCGAAUCCUUGCGAAAGUAGGGAGUGCCUUCGGGAGCGCGAACACAGGUGGUGCAUGGCUGUCGUCAGCUCGUGUCGUGAGAUGUUGGGUUAAGUCCCGCAACGAGCGCAACCCUCGUUUCUAGUUGCCAUCAUUAAGUUGGGCACUUUAGAGAGACUGCCGGUGACAAACCGGAGGAAAGGUGGGGAUGACGUCAAGUCAGCAUGCCCCCUUACGUCCUGGGCUACAACACGUACUACAAUGCUAUGGACAAAGAGUUGCAAGCCAGCGAUGGCAAGCUAAUCUCGUAAACCAUGGCUCAGUUCAGAUUGCAGGCUGCAACUCGCCUGCAUGAAGGAGGAAUCGCUAGUAAUCGCAGGUCAGCAUACUGCGGUGAAUACGUUCCCGGGCCUUGUACACACCGCCCGUCACACCAUGGGAGUUGGCUACGCCCGAAGUCGUUACUCCAACCGAAAGGAGGGGAAUGCCGAAGGCAGGGCUGAUGACUGGGGUGAAGUCGUAACAAGGUAGCCGUACCGGAAGGUGUGGCUGGAUCACCUCCUUUAAGGGAGACCUCCCACUGUACCAAAUCCUUAAAAUUGGAAGGUACAGGUGGUUAACCUAAGGUCGAUUGAGGUUUAAAUUUGUAUAUCAUCCGAUUGGCUUUCAAACUAUCUAGGGCAUGGACACGGGCUAUUAGCUCAGGUGGUUAGAGCGCACCCCUGAUAAGGGUGAGGCCCCUGGUUCGAGUCCAGGAUGGCCCACCUUUAGAAGAGGAAAAAAGAAGUAAUUUUACUCUUUCGAACUCCGUUUUAACUUUUCCUGGGGGUUUAGCUCAGUUGGUAGAGCGCCUGCUUUGCAAGCAGGAUGUCAACGGUUCGAGUCCGUUAACCUCCACUGGGGCUAGAGCGUAUUCCGCUACUUGUUCCAGCAUCUCAUUUCAAGUAAGGUUGGAUUAAUUGAGAGAGACUGCUGGAAGAUUAUCCAGUUAGAACCUUGAAAACUGCAUAGUAACUUGUCAGGUAGAAAUAGUAGAUAGUGAAUAUUUUUAGUAGUGAUGCUAGGAGCUAUUCAUUAAUUACUGAAUCACAGACACCAAUGUAUAACUUUCUAAAAGUUAGAAAUAGUGGUCAAGCUAAUAAGAGCUCAUGGUGGAUACCUAGGCACACAGAG
This 1750-nucleotide small RNA is filed under the name Leptolyngbya sp. LCR-CYANT35. RNAcentral's name for it is "bacterial SSU rRNA". The stretch from base 1 to 1142 matches the Rfam family "Bacterial small subunit ribosomal RNA", at positions 378 to 1533 of the family's 1533-position model. The record is from RNAcentral. Lineage: Bacteria; Bacillati; Cyanobacteriota; Cyanophyceae; Leptolyngbyales; Leptolyngbyaceae.